Oncorhynchus keta (chum salmon) is the source of this 886-nucleotide long non-coding RNA. RefSeq lists it as uncharacterized. The transcript has 4 exons. Lineage: Eukaryota; Metazoa; Chordata; Actinopteri; Salmoniformes; Salmonidae. The record is from RefSeq and is a predicted model, not a curated record.
GUCCUGGGUUUAAAAAGUAGUAGCGCUGUUCUUGGGGAGAUUAGGGUGUCAUUGGGGACACGGCCCCUAUAGAGUGGUGAACUGACAGGGUUUACUCCAGUACACUCUGCUCCAGUCCGUAGGGGAGUUGACAGAGACCGAAGGGGAGACUAUAAGAGGAGGAACGUUGACGUGUACAGCGGAUGUAUCAGCACAGCGUUGAGUGAGGUUCACACAUACAAACCAGCAAGAUGAAGAUAGUGAUGUUGGCUGUGGCUCUGGCCCUGCUGUUGGCUAGUGGUGAAGCACUGGACUGUCUGCGCUGUGUGCCAACGAAGGCAGGAAGAGACUGUGAGGUGACAGUAGAAACCUGUCCCCCAGAGAAGGACGGAUGUGCAGCCGCCAAGUUCCUCAGAGCACCAUUUGGCCAUUUCCAGAGAUGCAUGGACAUGUCGGGCUGUAAGCAGUUCCAAACCAACGCUUACAUCAACAUGAAGUGCUGUGGCACUGACAAGUGCAACACAUUCUAGAAUCUAUAUACUGGUUAACGUUCUAGAAUCUAUAUACUGGUUAACGUUCUAGAAUCUAUAUACUGGUUCACGUUCUAGAAUCUAUAUACUGGUUCACGUUCUAGAAUCUAUAUACUGGUUCACAUUCUAGAAUCUAUAUACUGGUUCACAUUCUAGAAUCUAUAUACUGGUUCACGUUCUAGAAUCUAUAUACUGGUUCACAUUCUAGAAUCUAUAUAGUGGUUCACAUUCUAGACCAGGGGUAUUCAAAUCCUUUCAUGGAAGUCUGGAGUACUGCUGGUUUUCUGUUCUACCUGAUAAUUCAUUGUUCCCACCUGGUGUCUAAAUCAGUCACUGAUUAGAAAUGAAAUAAAUAAAAAGGGAGGAACUGGCUUUGA